This 139-nucleotide long non-coding RNA is filed under the name Mustela putorius furo (domestic ferret). Its description in RNAcentral is "lncRNA (ENSMPUG00000029529.1)". Lineage: Eukaryota; Metazoa; Chordata; Mammalia; Carnivora; Mustelidae. The record is from RNAcentral.
CUAAGGUAUCUUCGAGACUUGGUGUUUCUCUAUCUGGGCAUUUGCUUCUGCGGGAGGCCUGCCUGCCACACUGCUCGGCAGAGUACCUGGCUGGCAUGAGUGACAGCUCGGUGGGAUAACUCUAGAGGCCCAGCAGGAC